Molecule: ribosomal RNA, 1306 nt
Filed under: uncultured bacterium
Lineage: Bacteria
Description: bacterial SSU rRNA
Rfam family: Bacterial small subunit ribosomal RNA
Source: RNAcentral
AACGUACGCUGGCGGCACGCCUAACACAUGUAAGUCGAACGGAGUAGCAAUACUCAGUGGCAGACGGGUGAGUAACAUGUAGGUAUCUGCCCUUUGGCCUGGAAUAACACGAGGAAACUUGUGCUAAUACCGGAUAAGUCUUUACGGAGAAAGCUUUAUGCACCAUUGGAUGAGCCUGCACUUGAUUAGUUUGUUGGUGGGGUAAUGGCCUACCAAGACUGUGAUCAAUAGCUGAUUUGAGAGGAUGAUCAGCCACAUUGGGACUGAGACACGGCCCAAACUCCUACGGGAGGCAGCAGUGGGGAAUCUUGCACAAUGGAGGAAACUCUGAUGCAGCGAUGCCGCGUGAGUGAAGAAGGCCUUUGGGUUGUAAAGCUCUUUCGUCGGGGAAGAAAAUGACUGUACCCGAAUAAGAAGGUCCGGCUAACUUCGUGCCAGCAGCCGCGGUAAUACGAAGGGACCUAGCGUAGUUCGGAAUUACUGGGCUUAAAGAGUUCGUAGGUGGUUGAAAAAGUUGGUGGUGAAAUCCCAGAGCUUAACUCUGGAACUGCCAUCAAAACUUUUCAGCUAGAGUAUGAUAGAGGAAAGCAGAAUUUCUAGUGUAGAGGUGAAAUUCGUAGAUAUUAGAAAGAAUACCAAUUGCGAAGGCAGCUUUCUGGAUCAUUACUGACACUGAGGAACGAAAGCAUGGGUAGCGAAGUGGAUUAGAUACCCACGUAGUCCAUGCCGUAAACGAUGUGUGUUAGACGUUGGAAAUUUAUUUUCAGUGUCGCAGCGAAAGCGAUAAACACACCGCCUGGGGAGUACGACCGCAAGGUUAAAACUCAAAUGAAUUGACGGGGACCCGCACAAGUAGUGGAGCAUGUGGUUUAAUUCGAAGAUACGCGCAGAACCUUACCAACACUUGACAUGUUCGUCGCGACUCUAAGAGAUUAGAGUUUUCGGUUCGGCCGGACGAAACACAGGUGCUGCAUGGCUGUCGUCAGCUCGUGUCGUGAGAUGUUGGGUUAAGUCCCGCAACGAGCGCAACCCUCACUUUUAGUUGCCAUCAUUAAGUUGGGCACUCUGAAAGAACUGCCAGUGAUAAGCUGGAGGAAGGUGGGGAUGACGUCAAGUCCUCAUGGCCCUUACGUGUUGGGCUACACACGUGCUACAAUGGUAUCUACAACAGGAAGCAAGACUGCGAAGUUAAGCAAAUCCUUAAAAGAUACCUCAGUUCGGAUUGCACUCUGCAACUCGAGUGCAUGAAGCUGGAAUUACUAGUAAUCGUGGAUCAGCGUGCCGCGGUGAAUGCGUUCCCGGGUCU